RNAcentral lists this ribosomal RNA (450 nucleotides) under uncultured bacterium. RNAcentral describes it as "partial 16S ribosomal RNA". It matches the Rfam family "Bacterial small subunit ribosomal RNA", at positions 338 to 795 of the family's 1533-position model. The record is from RNAcentral.
CCUACGGGUGGCUGCAGUAGGGAAUAUUGGACAAUGGGUGCGAGCCUGAUCCAGCCAUGCCGCGUGCAGGAAGAAGGCGUUAUGCGUUGUAAACUGCUUUUGCCAGGGGAUAAAAUAACUGUGCGCAGUUGAUUGAAGGUACCUGGUGAAUAAGCCACGGCUAACUACGUGCCAGCAGCCGCGGUAAUACGUAGGUGGCAAGCGUUGUCCGGAUUUAUUGGGUUUAAAGGGUGCGUAGGCGGUCAUGUAUGAAAUAUCUCAGCUUAACUGAGAGGGUGCCAUUGAUACUGCGGGGCUUGAGUACAGAUGAGGUAGGCGGAAUUGACGGUGUAGCGGUGAAAUGCAUAGAUAUCGUCAAGAACACCGAUAGCGAAGGCAGCUUACCAAGCUGUAACUGACGCUGAGGCACGAAAGUGUGGGGAUCAAACAGGAUUAGAUACCCUAGUAGUC